This 386-nucleotide RNase P RNA is filed under the name Acidobacteriota bacterium. RNAcentral's name for it is "Acidobacteria bacterium (activated sludge metagenome) RNase P RNA component class A". It matches the Rfam family "Bacterial RNase P class A". Rfam says of the family: Ribonuclease P (RNase P) is a ubiquitous endoribonuclease, found in archaea, bacteria and eukarya as well as chloroplasts and mitochondria. Its best characterised activity is the generation of mature 5'-ends of tRNAs by cleaving the 5'-leader elements of precursor-tRNAs. The record is from RNAcentral. Lineage: Bacteria; Pseudomonadati; Acidobacteriota.
GGAGCAGGCCGGACGGUCGCUGUUCAUUUGAACAGAGGAAAGUCCGAACACCACGGGACAGCGGACCGGGUAACGCCCGGGCACAUCGGCAAAUGCCGCGUGUGACGACAAGUGCAACAGAGAACAGACCAGCCCUUACGGGUGAUGGGUGAAACGGUAAGGUAAGAGCUUACCGGCGCGAUCGGUAACGGCCGCGGCCAGGCAAACUCUCCGCGGUGCAAGACCAAAUAGGGAAACGAAAAGCGGCGUCCCUCCGCGUUCCGGCCCUCGGGCCGGUCACGUUUCCGGGUAGGUCGCUAGAGCCGCUUGGUAACAAUCGGCCAAGAUGAAUGAUCGUCGCCCGCCAAUGGCGGGAACAAGAUUCGGCUUACAGGCCGGCUCCACUA